GUCUUGACUCCAACGACCCUCUCAUUGGGUCUAGGUGGAAGGAUCCUUGUGCCGGUUGGCACCUUGAUGGUGGUCUUCGUCUUGGAUGAUGAUCCCUUGAGAAGUAGGGGUUGUGGUGGUGCGGUGAGAACUGGUUGAGCAUGAUAGGAUUGGGCGGAGCUGCGUUGGCGUAAUGGCAUGGCUUCUAGCUGUCUUUCUGUGUUGGCCGGGACGAG
Molecule: long non-coding RNA, 215 nt
Filed under: Sorghum bicolor (sorghum)
Lineage: Eukaryota; Viridiplantae; Streptophyta; Magnoliopsida; Poales; Poaceae
Description: long non-coding RNA (SBIC_LNC000729)
Source: RNAcentral